CCUUCAGUGGGGACUCCACGCCGGGGCACGUGGGCAGAGGAGAGCCAGCCCCAAUCUGCUCGUGGCUCCCAGGCCGGCGGUUGGCCUGACCCUGUGUCAGCUGCUGUGAAGGAUCCCAUGAGGAUCCCACAUGACAUUGCUUCGUGGAAUCUCUUUAAUCUCCUCCCGUCUGUGACGGUUUCUCAGCCUGCCUGCUCUGCCAUAACCGUGACACAUUUGAGGAGCACUGAAUGGUUCUUUUGUCCAGGUCCUCAGUCUGGGUCUGUCUGGUGUCUCCUCGUGAUGAGGGGGAGCACAGAGGGGAUGUGCCUCUCAGCGCACCUGUCGGCGGCCCCCGAUUUCCACGUGUCUAUUACCAGCGAUGUAACCUUGCUCACUUGACUAAGGCGAUAUGAGCCAGGAUUCUCCACCAUCAAGUUGCUCCCUUUCCCUUUGUGACUCGUAACUAUUUUGAUGGAGGUACUUUGAGAUUGUGCUGAUGUCCAGUUUCUCCUUAAACUUUC
This 503-nucleotide long non-coding RNA is filed under the name Equus caballus (horse). Its description in RNAcentral is "lncRNA (ENSECAG00000047679.1)". The record is from RNAcentral. Lineage: Eukaryota; Metazoa; Chordata; Mammalia; Perissodactyla; Equidae.